GUCAGGUUAUGUCAUGGCCCACCCCUGACACUCUGUCAGGUUAUGUCAUGGCCCACCCCUGACACUCCGUCAGGUUAUGCCAUAAGUUCACUUCAGUGGACCCCAAGACCAUGUAAGCUGAACUUUCCAGCUGAGGCUAACUGAGGUGAAACACUGAUCGUGCCAGGGGGACUCCAAGGACCUUGGUUUUUCCUUCUCAUCUUUCCCUACAGAAGAUCCUUUCAGGGAAGGAGAAGGCUUCUGUAUCUGCCAUACAUAUCCUCUGUGAUCACCGGACACAACCAGAACCCACCAGGAGCUGACCACACCCAGCUGACAGGAGAUGGGCAGCUUCUUCUGUUACAUGGUAUGCCACAAUGGACUUCCUCACUACAGGCCCAAGAGCAAGACACUGUGAACAUUCUCGCCAAAGCCUUCAAAACUAUCACUGGGAGAAGAUACCUCGUUAUUAUACAUAUGGAUGUGUUUCCUAGAAGGUCCCAGGCAGCCUAUGGCCAGAUCCCAGCGACCUUUAUGUAAGGAUAUGGCAGGUUCCAGGAUGCAAGAAAAGAGGGAAAGAGGAAGCUGGUGUGUGACUCUGAGUGUGGCCCAGCCUUCUUCAUGGUCUAUUGGCACAUCCUUCAGAGAUCUACCAGCCUGACCUGGGAGUGGGCUUAGGAACUGCCAGUCACAACAAUCAUGGAUAUAUUCCAUUUCUACAGCAUCUUUGGAGAGGGCAGUAGUUCCUGUCACCAAAUUCAUUGCUUAGAUCAUUCUAAGCCUUUCACAGCGGUGAAGGAAUCUUUCUCCCUGCAUCCUUUAUUCAUUACUUAAAAAAAAAGCGACAUUAAAUCUGCCAUUGCUUCCUGCUAAUUGCCUGUAAAUCAGCCAUGUGUGAAGUUCUACACGUUUAUCCACCAGCCUAAAGUUGCAGAGUUCCACACCGCAAAAGGCCCUGAUAGGAAACCUGUCAUUCGGCCGAUGGAACAGUAAUAGAUGUGGAAGUGAGUGAUGCAUAAUGGAUCAUGGGAUUUAAAAUCCAGCAUCCACAUCCGAGCUGCUGAAAAGGUUAGCGGAUUAUACGGCUGCAGCCACAUCAAUUAUGAAAUAGAAAAUACUCAACCUUGCCUUCCAUCUCGGAAGGUGGUAAACAUUUUAUCCUGCUUUCUUCUGUGUGAGCUAAAGACUCUUGCUUUUAUGAGUCAUCCUGGGGUGUAAGUGAGCGAAGGGGAUAGGGAAAAAC
Molecule: long non-coding RNA, 1222 nt
Organism: Peromyscus maniculatus bairdii (prairie deer mouse)
Lineage: Eukaryota; Metazoa; Chordata; Mammalia; Rodentia; Cricetidae
Source: RefSeq, a predicted model, not a curated record